CCUACGGGCGGCAGCAGUAGGGAAUAUUGCUCAAUGGGGGAAACCCUGAAGCAGCAACGCCGCGUGGAGGAUGAAGGUUUUCGGAUUGUAAACUCCUUUUGUUAGAGAAGAUAAUGACGGUAUCUAACGAAUAAGCACCGGCUAACUCCGUGCCAGCAGCCGCGGUAAUACGGAGGGUGCAAGCGUUACUCGGAAUCACUGGGCGUAAAGAGCGCGUAGGCGGGAUAGCAAGUCAGAUGCGAAAUCCUAUGGCUUAACCAUAGAACUGCAUUUGAAACUGUUAUUCUAGAGUAUGGGAGAGGUAGGUGGAAUUCUUGGUGUAGGGGUGAAAUGCGUAGAGAUCAAGAGGAAUACUCAUUGCGAAGGCGACCUGCUAGAACAUGACUGACGCUGAUGCGCGAAAGCGUGGGGAGCAAACAGGAUUAGAUACCCCUGUAGUC
This 440-nucleotide ribosomal RNA is filed under the name uncultured bacterium. RNAcentral's name for it is "partial 16S ribosomal RNA". It matches the Rfam family "Bacterial small subunit ribosomal RNA", at positions 338 to 795 of the family's 1533-position model. The record is from RNAcentral.